GCGAUCGUAGUUCAGCGGUAGAACGCUAUCCUUCCAAGUUAGAUGUCGCUGGUUCAAAUCCAGUCGGUCGCU
Molecule: transfer RNA, 72 nt
Filed under: Synechococcus phage S-CRM01
Lineage: Duplodnaviria; Heunggongvirae; Uroviricota; Caudoviricetes; Pantevenvirales; Kyanoviridae
Rfam family: tRNA
About the family: Transfer RNA (tRNA) molecules are approximately 80 nucleotides in length. Their secondary structure includes four short double-helical elements and three loops (D, anti-codon, and T loops). Further hydrogen bonds mediate the characteristic L-shaped molecular structure. tRNAs have two regions of fundamental functional importance: the anti-codon, which is responsible for specific mRNA codon recognition, and the 3' end, to which the tRNAs corresponding amino acid is attached (by aminoacyl-tRNA synthetases). tRNAs cope with the degeneracy of the genetic code in two manners: having more than one tRNA (with a specific anti-codon) for a particular amino acid; and 'wobble' base-pairing, i.e. permitting non-standard base-pairing at the 3rd anti-codon position.
Source: Rfam by way of RNAcentral